UCCAGGGGUACCAUAUCACCCUGCAACUCACAACUGGCAACUCACUAAAGCUAAGCAGGUGUGAGCCUGGUCAGUACCUGGAUGGGAGACCUCUUGGGAAAAACCAAGGUUGCUGCUGGAA
Lepisosteus oculatus (spotted gar) is the source of this 121-nucleotide ribosomal RNA. Lineage: Eukaryota; Metazoa; Chordata; Actinopteri; Semionotiformes; Lepisosteidae. The record is from Ensembl.